This 503-nucleotide ribosomal RNA is filed under the name uncultured bacterium. Its description in RNAcentral is "partial 16S ribosomal RNA". It matches the Rfam family "Bacterial small subunit ribosomal RNA", at positions 30 to 523 of the family's 1533-position model. The record is from RNAcentral.
AUUGAACGCUGGCGGCAGGCUUAACACAUGCAAGUCGAGCGGGGUGAUGGUGCUUGCACUAUCACUUAGCGGCGGACGGGUGAGUAAUGCUUAGGAAUCUGCCUAUUAGUGGGGGACAACAUCUCGAAAGGGAUGCUAAUACCGCAUACGUCCUACGGGAGAAAGCAGGGGAUCACUUGUGACCUUGCGCUAAUAGAUGAGCCUAAGUCGGAUUAGCUAGUUGGUGGGGUAAAGGCCUACCAAGGCGACGAUCUGUAGCGGGUCUGAGAGGAUGAUCCGCCACACUGGGACUAAGACACGGCCCAGACUCCUACGGGAGGCAGCAGUGGGGAAUAUUGGACAAUGGGGGGAACCCUGAUCCAGCCAUGCCGCGUGUGUGAAGAAGGCCUUAUGGUUGUAAAGCACUUUAAGCGAGGAGGAGGCUCUUUUGGUUAAUGCCCAAGAUGAGUGGACGUUACUCGCAGAAUAAGCACCGGCUAACUCUGUGCCAGCAGCCGCCGUAA